GGUUAAUAAUGUUUUGUCAGUCCAUCCAUGGCUAGAGGAAAAUUCCUUCUUUAUGUAUUUUGUCCAUAACCCUGAUAAACCAACAGGGGCUUUCACACAGCACCUUAAAAGCCUGUCUUAUCCUUGGGGUUUCUGCAGCCAAUGAAAGUUUGUCAUGAUGAUGUAAUGCUCCUGAGUUGUGUUUCAGCACCGAGUGUGUGGUCACCGGGUAUCAUGCCUGAGAGCUAGGACUUCCUGGGUCCCAGAGAGUUCAAUAGCAAAGUCUUCAGCCCUUCAUGUAAGACCAUGUUCUUCACCAUACUUGGAAACUGUCUUAUGGAGGGGAAGAUCUAAGGAAUCCAAACCUCUUGCCUCUGCUUACAUUUUUCUCAGGCUACCAGAAUGUGACACCAACUGGCUGCCUCGGCUUUCUAUCGUUAUGGAAUCCUGUAUUCUCAGAAAGAGUAUGUAUUCUUGUUUUUGGCCUGGUCACCUAUUUCUGACAUGGGGUCCUUGCCCACUG
Molecule: long non-coding RNA, 502 nt
Filed under: Fukomys damarensis (Damara mole-rat)
Lineage: Eukaryota; Metazoa; Chordata; Mammalia; Rodentia; Bathyergidae
Description: lncRNA (ENSFDAG00000024872.1)
Source: RNAcentral